CUGUGAGCUUCCUGCCAGAGGCUCCGCCCCUCAGCCGGUAAACUCUGCACUCUGCAAGCAGAAGGCCCCAUUAGGACUACAGUUCCUGUGACUCACACUACCACAAGUCCAAAGGACAGUCAAGAGCAAACACAAGUAGGGCAACGUGCACAAACCUGUCACCAGUGAUUGGCAUCUUCACAUCUACCCGGGACGAAAACACAAUGAAGGACAAUCUCAUCUGGGGACUGCAAAAUUAAAUAAAGAAGACACUGUGAAUUAAAACAUCCUCUCACAUUU
This is a long non-coding RNA of Carcharodon carcharias (great white shark), 279 nucleotides long. RefSeq lists it as uncharacterized. The record is from RefSeq and is a predicted model, not a curated record. The transcript has 2 exons. NCBI's taxonomy places the organism in Eukaryota, Metazoa, Chordata, Chondrichthyes, Lamniformes, Lamnidae.